Molecule: ribosomal RNA, 253 nt
Filed under: uncultured bacterium
Lineage: Bacteria
Description: partial 16S ribosomal RNA
Rfam family: Bacterial small subunit ribosomal RNA
Source: RNAcentral
UACAGAGGUGGCAAGCGUUGUUCGGAAUUACUGGGCGUAAAGCGCGUGUAGGCGGCUCUUCAAGUCAGGCGUGAAAGCCCCGGGCUCAACUCGGGAACUGCGCUUGAUACUGUCGAGCUAGAGUGUGGAAGGGGAGACUGGAAUUCCUGGUGUAGCGGUGAAAUGCGCAGAUAUCAGGAGGAACACCGGUGGCGAAGGCGGGUCUCUGGGCCGAUACUGACGCUGAGGAGCGAAAGCGUGGGGAGCGAACAGG